UUAUAAAUCUUUCACUUUUCUACUUGCUCCAUAAGGCCGAAAGAUCCGGCAAAAGUGCAACAAUGAAAUCCGGCCGAACUCCUCGGGAGGUGUACCCUAAAACAGCUUCUGCAAGAACCCGAAGCUACUUUCGGUCUUUUAGGAGUUUCCAGCUCACAGCACACAUGGGAUGUCACACAAAAUGAAUAAAAUCACAAACUCGGA
Long non-coding RNA from Suricata suricatta (meerkat), 204 nucleotides. RefSeq lists it as uncharacterized. The record is from RefSeq and is a predicted model, not a curated record. The transcript is spliced from 2 exons. NCBI's taxonomy places the organism in Eukaryota, Metazoa, Chordata, Mammalia, Carnivora, Herpestidae.